Molecule: ribosomal RNA, 492 nt
Filed under: uncultured bacterium
Lineage: Bacteria
Description: partial 16S ribosomal RNA
Rfam family: Bacterial small subunit ribosomal RNA
Source: RNAcentral
AGUGAACGCUGGCGGUAGGCCUAACACAUGCAAGUCGAACGGCAGCACAGUAAGAGCUUGCUCUUACGGGUGGCGAGUGGCGGACGGGUGAGGAAUACAUCGGCAUCUACUUUUUCGGGGGGGAUAACGUAGGGAAACUUACGCUAAUACCGCAUACGACCUACGGGUGAAAGCAGGGGAUCUUCGGACCUUGCGCGAUUGAAUGAGCCGAUGUCGGAUUAGCUAGUUGGCGGGGUAAAGGCACACCAAGGCGACGAUCCGUAGCUGGUCUGAGAGGAUGAUCAGCCACACUGGAACUGAGACACGGUCCAGACUCCUACGGGAGGCAGCAGUGGGGAAUAUUGGACAAUGGGCGCAAGCCUGAUCCAGCCAUACCGCGUGGGUGAAGAAGGCCUUCGGGUUGUAAAGCCCUUUUGUUGGGAAAGAAAAGCAGCGUGUUAAUACCCCGCUGUUCUGACGGUACCCAAAGAAUAAGCACCGGCUAACUUCGUG